RNAcentral lists this long non-coding RNA (5169 nucleotides) under Olea europaea subsp. europaea. The record is from RNAcentral. Lineage: Eukaryota; Viridiplantae; Streptophyta; Magnoliopsida; Lamiales; Oleaceae.
CUAAUUUUUCUUGCUCCCCGAGUUUAUGCAUGCCAACGCUUCUCAAAAUUUCUCGAGAGUUCAGUUUGUUCGGAACGAAAGAUUUGAGAAGUAUUAUCUAUCCGAUCAACAUCAACACCAUUUGAGCUGAAUCCAUUAACAUUUACAAAUUGUUCUGUCUGUAUUUCUACUAGAAUGGGAGAAAGAAAAGUGCUAAACAAGUAUUAUCCCCCGGACUUCGAUCCGGCAAAGAUUCCACGGCCGCAGCAGCCAAAGAAAGAGCAAUUUCCUAUCCGCAAUAUGCUUCCCAUGAGCAUUCGUUGUAAAACUUGUGGGAACUACAUGUAUAAGGGUACUAAGUUCAAUUCGCGCAAAGAAAAAGCCAUCGGGGAGACUUAUUUGGGAAUACGAGUUUUUAGGUUCUAUAUCAAAUGCAGCAAAUGCUCAGCGGAAAUAACAUUCAAGACGGAUCCACAGAAUUCGGAUUAUGCUCUUGAGUGCGGUGCCACGAGAAAUUUCGAACCUUGGCGUGCAGAGGAUGAAGAGAAAAAGAAAAGGAAUAUAGAUGAUAUGGGAGAUGUGAUGAAAUCAUUGGAGAAUAGAUAUUUGGACUCCAAGAGGGGACUGGAUAUCCUAGUUGCUUUGGAUGAUAUCAAGUCUGUGAACUCGAGACAUGAAAGGGUGAGUGGAGAUUCGAUGCUCGAAGCUUUGCAACAGAAAAAUGAGGCGAAUGAAAGGAAAUUGGAAGAAGAGGAUGAAGCUCUUAUAGAAUCCGUGUUUAGGGGGGCACGAGAGCAUAUUUUACGAAGGAUUGAUGAUGAAGAAGAUUUAACCGUGUUUUCACCUGAGAAGAGAAGAAAGCUAUCCACCGAGCUCCCUAACCCAACGGAUUCUUUACCGAAAGGCAGUGUUCAUGUCAGCUUCAAGAGUCGAAAUAAUGGUAAAUUCAUUCUGAAGUCUUCAUCGGUCAAAGUUUCUAUUCUUAAGAAACCACUUCCUGAUUCCAAUAGUAACAAGGCAGGAAAGGAGGAGCCGAAGAAUCAGGAGGCAGGAUCCGUUGCAAGCAGUGGAUUACAAUCAUUAUGCCAACAAUAUGGAAGUAAUGAAGACGAUUGAUAGCAAAGAACCAUAUUUAGUUUGGUGUGAGGCAUGUUUCAUAUUUAGAGCUUGAGUUCUUGACUGAUACUUGCAGUAUAUUGUAUAUAACAUCCAAUUUUUCAUGUACUAGUAGAGUUUUGCUGUUUUUAUUAUACAAUUUCGUGUUUCUUGAAGUUAAAUAAGUUACUUUCAUAUGCAUUGUGUUAGUUAAAAGGGAAGAUGGAAUAGGGGAAUAAAAAAGCAUCGAUCCUUCCCACGGUUGUGGUUCUUCUAUUGUAUGCGAAGGCUUCUGAUUCAUCCAACAAUUGUGUAGCUUAUAUGUGGUAUAUUAUUAGCUGCAUGAGGAAUGCGUUCUUGGUAGAGCUAAUCUCAGCUAUUGUGGCUAGUUUUUUAUUAUAUCAACUUAGCUUGAUGCUAAUUUUAAUGGGUGAUGUGGACUUAUCGUUUAAAUUUCAGGUUCUGUUCUGCAUGCAUUGACAACGGGUCUACCAUCACAAGCCUAUGCUCACUUUGCCGGAAUGAGUUUCAAUUGAUAACGUGUACCUGUGAGUAUCUAAAGUUGUUCGAAUUUUCGGACCCUUCUCCAUCAUCAUUUUGAUGUCCUUGUAUUCAUUCUUGUGGCUGCAAAGCCUAUUUUUUUCUUUUACUGUUAUGACCUAUGCACGUGAUGAUUCUUAAUGCGAUUGUUGUAAAAUUAACAAUUCGAUCUUUGAAAUUCUACACUAAUAUCUUAACCAGGAAAUGGUUACUUGUGCAUAUUGUGGUUAAUGAAGGUAUAUGAUACGAUCAGUAGCAGCAAGACUAAUGAGGAUGCACAUCCAAUGUAAGCACUAAUGACUUCGUUAUAGCUAUUUUGUUCUCUUAUAAUAUGGACUUUUCAUUUUAUGUUUCCUAUAAUGGUCUACAGAGUAACUGGAAGAGGGUUGAUGCAUAGUGUAGCCAUUUAUUUGGUUUGAGAAUGUCGGAAGGAGAAAAUUCUCUCUCCCUCUGACUCCAUGCAAUCCCUUUGAUCCAAAAAUUGGCAGGAAAGAGAACACAAUAAGCAAUGUUAUUUAGUCAUAACCUCGUAACCACCUAUAUUUUGGAGGUCAAAAGAUAUAAUGAUCAAAGUUCAUUCGCCAGUAUAUUUUAGUGAUAGAUGGAUUGUUUUUUAAACUUUGUCCCAUACAUUACUCAGACUAGAAUAAAGGAAGUAACAAGCUGACCAAGAAACCAUGAAAAUAAGAUAAGAGCAGCACCGCAUCGAAAGAGCCAAGAAAUGGCUUCCGAUGAACCACAUGGGAAUGGUCUCAUGAAGAUUGUUCCCCCUCUACAUCUUGAGUCACGUUUUAUGGUUAUUGAGCGACUUCAUGCAUAGCUACAUCACUUGCUUGAGAAACAUGAACAGAGUACCAUGCAGCUCUUGUUUUUUUGAAAGGCAAAGCCUUUUCUGAGUAGAUGAAAUUCAAAUGAGAAUAACAGACUUAUGAGGCCUUUGUUAGAUCCUCAAGCAUUAUCUUUAGGGGUGAAGUACAUCCAAUUCCAUUUUAUUAUGCACGACAAGAAGUGACCAUAGAUAGCCUUUGGAAGAGGAAAUUGUACGACAUCAAUAAAAUGGCAAAGCGUGCCAUUGAAGACCAUGGAUAUAUAUUGUAAAACCAUUAUACCAAGGGAAGACAAAGGAAAUUAAAGAGAAAAAUCAAUGCACUGCAGAUUUUUUACAAGUGAUGUCUCUAAUCUCUAAAGCAACCUGCAAGUUCUAUGAUGUUUUACUUUUAUUCAUUUUGAUCAUUAUAAACAUGUAAUGAUAUUGUUUGUUCUCAGCCAAACAAAAGCAACAGAGGACAGGAACUUAGGAUUUGAGUUAAGCACAUCAAUUGAAUUUUUCAUUGAUGCCCACCUACAAAACACAGUCAAGUGUUGCAUCUGAACUAUAUGUUCUUUAUCAUCAAGAGAAGACAGUAAAUAGCAGCCUCCUUUUCAAAAUUGGCCUCUUAUGUAUGAACUCUUAGCUAGAUGAUGACUGGAGCAUUGAAGGGAAAAACGUCACCCUCUCUUUUCCAUCAUAGUAUAUUGAUGAAAAUGUAAGUUUUAUGGAGUUCCAUGAUGCUUGUGAAAUUGCAAUUGUACUUUACAAUAUGGCACCUGGCCUGCUGUUGCAUCAUUCUACUGUACCAUUGGAUGGUUAUUUUGAGCAAAUAUUUGUAUGUGCCUGUAUUUUAUUUCAUUUUUUGUGUGUUUUCAUAUUCAAGGAUGUUAAUAAUCUUAUGCCUAUAUUAUGCAGGUAACAAACCAGAUAUGCAAAAGAAAAUGUUGUAGCAAGAGAAGCUAUUCCCUGACUUUGGCUGUCGAUUAUGAAACAAAGUCGAGAUUCCUACACGACCUCUACCAACUCUAGUGAUGGUUUAGGCUCCCAACAAUUAAAGGGGAUGGGAAUGGCUAUAUCUAUGAAUGAUUGAAGCGAACUAUGAAAAGAAAUGGAUACAAUUUACUUUAUCAAAUCCCCUUUCUAUUUUUUGUCCUUUAUCCAUGUUUCUUGGUCCCAUCACCUUUCCUUAGGCCAAACAAGGCUUUGAACACAAAGCUCAGGACAAAAUGAAAUGGGAAGAACAUCAACAAUGACAUUUCUACGUAAAUCAUACCAAACAAGCUUUUCUUCAUUGACAUAUAAAAGAACCUUCUCACCAUUCUUCGAAUAAGUCAAUGGCCUCAAAGAAGACAAAUUACCAUUUGAAUUAAUCGUUAUCUGACCAACUGAUAGCAAUUGAGUCCAAGAUUUCUCAACUCCAUAUUUCUUCAUCACCCAUAUACCCACAUGAAACUCGCUAGCCGUUGCUAAAGAAAGACACCCUCCUAGAACAUUCAAAUUCAUGCUAAUAUUCUCGAUAGGAAUUUUUGUUGGCAGCAUCAACUCAUAAUGGUUCUCAUUCUCAACACUAAAACCCAUAAUUUUAAAUGUCUUGCCCGAAUACGCAUGGGAAAUAUCCUUAAGAAGCGAAUGCAAUGCCCCAUUGAGAUAUACUUCCCAGCGAUGAUCAAGCAACGGCAAUGGAUAAGGAAACCGCUCAACCUUGUUCCAAGAAUUCGAUUUCAAGCUUAAAAUUUCUGUUUCAGAGAACGUCCACUGCCCCGUUAAGUUGUGAAAUUCAACAACCCGAACAACUUUAUAGUCAUCCUUUCUUGGAUCGUAACACAGCCCAUAAUACUCUAUGGCAUAUAACGAUGAAUAAUCAGUUGGGAAUUCAAUCGGGAAGGCGUCAGGUAACUUCUUGUGUCUUCUUGAAAAGGGGUUCUGCAGUACAAGGGAUUCAGCAGCUACUACUAGAAAUAACCCAUUGCAAUAGUUGGACAUGCAUAUCAAUUGAAAAUCUGUGGAAUCAACUGGGGGUUGAAUGAGAUGGGCUGUGUCAAAUGAAUCCAAAUUUACGGAAUAAAGUCCCAUCUCCAUGCUUCCAUAAAUGAGGGAGUGAUUGGAGCGUGCUAUGAUGGAUUGAUUCAAAUGCUUUUUAAUGAAAUGAUCACUGUCAAUUAUGCAGCACCAACUUUUUGAUACACACCUGAAUCGCAAAAGGGAUGCCACUGAUAAGUGUGAUAACACUUCUUCGAUGAGUUCUGAAUGAAUCAUGUUUUCUCUGUUGUUACAGAUUUUCUUGAAUUCAACAGUUUAAGGGGGUGAAAGAAGGCAAUGUCUAAGACAGAAGUAAAAUAUUUUCAUGAAUACAAGAGUUGAAGGGGGUAAAAGAAAGCACUGUCUAAGAGAGAAGUAAAAGAUUUUCUUGAAUUCAAGAGUUGUAGGGGGUUAAAGAAGGCAGCGUCUAAGAGAGAAGUAGAAGAUUUUCUUGAAUUCAAGAGUCGAAAGAGGUGAAGGCACUGUCUAAGAGAGAAGUAAGGUAGCGGGUUGAGUUUGAAGAGGAAAUGAGAUGCAGUGGACAAGAUAGAAAUAGAAGCUGUGCCGUGAUUUUAUGUACAUCCCGUAUCAGAUCAGCCGGUGGACAAGUUAGAAAAUGGUACAUUCUUCAAAUUUCAUGCUGUAAUCAAAGUUAUAAACUGUAAUUGAGAGAUUUAUUUAUUAUAAUCUAAUACUUUAAUAGGUUUUUAAGAAUAAAAGUAAAA